Molecule: unclassified non-coding RNA, 301 nt
Filed under: uncultured Ustilaginaceae
Lineage: Eukaryota; Fungi; Basidiomycota; Ustilaginomycetes; Ustilaginales; Ustilaginaceae
Description: sequence contains ITS2
Source: RNAcentral
AUUGUUUCGAACGGCAGCUUUCUUCUUUUUUGCGAGAAAGUUGGCGGAUCGGUAGUGAGGGUCUUUUUUGCCAGUUACCAUGGCUCCCUCGAAAUGCAUUAGCGCAUCCAUUUAAGAGGCAAAAAGGCGGACGAAAGCUCUGGCUUUUUUCGCCCUCCUUCUUCCUCCUGCCGGGUUUUGAUAAUAUCAGGACUUCGGAGGCAAGGAAGAGAGGUAUUUUUUGCUGGUUGGAGUGCUUCUGAAACCCGCCCAUGCCCGCACACGCCGGGAAGGGGAGUGAUGUAAUCAAAACAUCCAAUUC